GAUGAACGCUGGCGGCGUGCCUAAUACAUGCAAGUCGAGCGAACAGACGAGGAGCUUGCUCCUUCGACGUUAGCGGCGGACGGGUGAGUAACACGUAGGUAACCUACCUAUAAGACUGGGAUAACUUCGGGAAACCGGAGCUAAUACCGGAUAAUAUUUCGAACCGCAUGGUUCGAUAGUGAAAGAUGGCUUUGCUAUCACUUAUAGAUGGACCUGCGCCGUAUUAGCUAGUUGGUAAGGUAACGGCCUACCAAGGCAACGAUACGUAGCCGACCUGAGAGGGUGAUCGGCCACACUGGAACUGAGACACGGUCCAGACUCCUACGGGAGGCAGCAGUAGGGAAUCUGCCGCAAUGGGCGAAAGCCUGACGGAGCAACGCCGCGUGAGUGAUGUAGGUCUUCGGAUCGUAAAACUCUGUUAUUAGGGAAGAACAAGCGUGUAAGGAACUGUGCACGUCUUGACGGUACCUAAUCAGAAAGCCACGGCUAACUACGUG
Molecule: ribosomal RNA, 497 nt
Filed under: uncultured bacterium
Lineage: Bacteria
Description: partial 16S ribosomal RNA
Rfam family: Bacterial small subunit ribosomal RNA
Source: RNAcentral